GAUGAAGAACGUAGCGAAAUGCGAUAAGUAAUGCGAAUUGCAGAUUUCAGUGAGUCGUCGAAUCUUUGAACGCACAUUGCGCCCGCCAGUAUUCUGGCGGGCAUGCCUGUUCGAGCGUCAUUUCAACCAUCAAGCCCCCGGGCUUGCGUUGGGGCCCUGCGGCUGCCGCAGGCCCCGAAAAGCAGUGGCGGGCUCGCUGUCACACCGAGCGCAGUAGCGAUUCUCGCUCCGGGCGUCGGCGGCGGGCACCGGCCGUGAAACCCCCCCCCAUCCACAAGGUUGACCUCGGAUCAGGUAGGAAUACCCGCUGAACUUAAGCAUAUCAAUAAGCGGAGGA
RNAcentral lists this unclassified non-coding RNA (337 nucleotides) under soil metagenome. Its description in RNAcentral is "partial contains 5.8S ribosomal RNA, internal transcribed spacer 2, and large subunit ribosomal RNA". The stretch from base 1 to 120 matches the Rfam family "5.8S ribosomal RNA", at positions 35 to 154 of the family's 154-position model. The record is from RNAcentral.